Molecule: long non-coding RNA, 1161 nt
Organism: Ornithodoros turicata
Lineage: Eukaryota; Metazoa; Arthropoda; Arachnida; Ixodida; Argasidae
Exons: 2
Source: RefSeq, a predicted model, not a curated record
UACGGAUCCAGUUCAGCCCACCGUUCUCUGCCCACACCAACGACCCUCAAGUUCCCUACACCAAAGAGGAGCAACGCUUGCUGUGCCCUACAUGCAUGGUCCCAGAAAUUCAUCGGGGAGAGAGGCUUCCCUGGGCCUAUCCGGCUUGGCACGCAAACAGCUGCUCCGGGCGUUGGUGUGGGCAGAGAACGGUGGGCUGGGCUGGAUCCGGUAUGGUAUUAAACUGUUGUCCGUUUGCUUAUUCUUUGGUUGCUUGUGUCCUUCUUCAACGGCAGAAUGGACAGGGGGACCCGCGAGUGGGAUAAAUAUUCCCACAAGUGGCGCCCAACGUGGGGCUCGGCUCCCAAUCGCCUGAGUCUGCAGACUAUGAACGCUGCACUGACUUCGGAAGGCGAUGGGGAGAAUCGGCUCUGUGGACGGGUCCUGUCUAUUCGGUUGGAGAAGGGUUCGGUUCUUCUUUCCUUUUCUUGUGGUUGUUUUACCGGUGACCCUCAAGCGUGUUUACUGUUCGUUCUCUAGCACCCACUUCGGAUCCUGGAGCACUGAUUGCCCCGUGUGCAAUUCCUUGGUUGCGGCGCACAGAGCCUGAUUACGAGCCUAUCCGACUCGCGAUCCUGAGGAAGCCAGGUCUCACCACAGGGUACAUUUAUGCGACCCGUAGGACCAGUCUUGACAUGUCGCCAGCCCCAAGAGCAGGACCAGCUGCAGCCAGGACGAGAACUUCGAAUGGGCAUGACUCCCGGCAUGACCGUGGGAACAGCGCCAGCCCAGGUGGACAACGUGGUGGACUGCGUGGACACUCUCGACGGCAACCUUGACCGUGGUAGCUGAUGGUCGACCAAUAUCCUGGGCUUCCUCCGCUAAGUGGUCUUCCCAGCAACGUCUGCUUCGCGGCGACGGCCCGCAGCGCGUGUUGCCCCCUUUCAACGGUCUCACGCUCGAAGACCGCCACCCCAACGACCCUCAAGUUCCCUACACGGAAGAGGAGCAACGCUUGCUGUGCCCUACAUGCAUGGUCCCAGGAAUUAAUCGGGGAGAGAGGCUUCCCUGGGCCUAUCCGGCUUGGCACGCAGACAGCUGCUCCGGGCGUUGGUGUGGGCAGAGAACGGUGGGCUGGACUGGAUCCGGUAUGGUAUUAAACUGUUGUCCGUUUGCUUAUUC